AACGGAAAGGCCUUGUGCUUGCACAAGGUACUCGAGUGGCGAACGGGUGAGUAACACGUGGGUGAUCUGCCCUGCACUGUGGGAUAAGCCUGGGAAACUGGGUCUAAUACCAUAUAGGACCGCAUCUUGGAUGGUGUGGUGGAAAGCUUUUGCGGUGUGGGAUGAGCCUGCGGCCUAUCAGCUUGUUGGUGGGGUAAUGGCCUACCAAGGCGGCGACGGGUAUCCGGCCUGAGAGGGUGUACGGACACAUUGGGACUGAGAUACGGCCCAGACUCCUACGGGAGGCAGCAGUGGGGAAUAUUGCACAAUGGGCGCAAGCCUGAUGCAGCGACGCCGCGUGGGGGAUGAAGGCCUUCGGGUUGUAAACUCCUUUCGCUAUCGACGAAGCCUUCGGGUGACGGUAGGUAGAUAAGAAGCACCGGCUAACUACGUGCCAGCAGCCGCGGUAAUACGUAGGGUGCAAGCGUUGUCCGGAAUUACUGGGCGUAAAGAGCUCGUAGGUGGUUUGUCGCGUCGUCUGUGAAAUCCCGGGGCUUAACUUCGGGCGUGCAGGCGAUACGGGCAUAACUUGAGUGCUGUAGGGGAGACUG
RNAcentral lists this ribosomal RNA (590 nucleotides) under bacterium 26RD. Its description in RNAcentral is "bacterial SSU rRNA". It matches the Rfam family "Bacterial small subunit ribosomal RNA", at positions 65 to 663 of the family's 1533-position model. The record is from RNAcentral.